Jaculus jaculus (lesser Egyptian jerboa) is the source of this 104-nucleotide small nuclear RNA. The record is from Ensembl. Lineage: Eukaryota; Metazoa; Chordata; Mammalia; Rodentia; Dipodidae.
GUGCUCCCUCUGGUAGCACUAUAUACUAAAAUUGGAAUGAUACAGAGAAGAUUAGUAUGGCCCCUGUGCAAGGAUGACAUGCAAAUUCAUGAAGCAGAAGUUCU